Molecule: ribosomal RNA, 336 nt
Filed under: Triticum aestivum (bread wheat)
Lineage: Eukaryota; Viridiplantae; Streptophyta; Magnoliopsida; Poales; Poaceae
Description: partial small subunit ribosomal RNA
Source: RNAcentral
UUGUUUGCAGGCUCAGAUGCUGAUGACAUGGAGCACAACGAAUUGGAAGACUCAAGUCACAAAAACUAUGACGACCAUGAUCCAUUUGACUAUGUGUACUCAAACCUCCCAGCCAACACACACAUCCUGAAGCACGCCGCGAACUGCGACCACUGUAAGGCCAAAAAGUUUGUCAGCGAGGCCCCGGGAUUCUGCUGUCGCAAUGGGCAGAUCGAGCUGAAGCAACCGGAGCCCAUCCCGGAGCUCAUGAGGCUUUGGUCUAGCACUGAUGCGGACUCUAGGCAUUUUCGGGAGAACAUACGGUUCUUCAACGGACACUUCUCUUUCACAACCCUG